Molecule: non-coding RNA, 469 nt
Organism: Ciona intestinalis (vase tunicate)
Lineage: Eukaryota; Metazoa; Chordata; Ascidiacea; Phlebobranchia; Cionidae
Source: RefSeq, a predicted model, not a curated record
CCAGGAGGGCAUUCAUUUCUGCCGAAUCAUCCGAGAAGAUUCGAAGAGCUUUGAGGAGACAAACUCGUCAGACCGGUGACAAGUAUAACAUAGAUACCACAGAAAAGCCUCCAAUUGAUCCGUCAAUCCAAGAAUCCAGCGAUGAUGAAAGUGAUCAUGAAGAUCAACCAGAAGUUGUUCAACCGGCGCCACAAUUAACAAGAACAAUAGUACAACAACCACGACUGCGAGCUAAUGAUAAGGUUAAAUUUGUCAAUGUAGAUGGGGUACAACAGAAAGUUACAAUUUUAAGUAGAGCCGGUAAAGCCGGACAACAAAAUGGUUUUAGAAGUAAUGAGAGAUUAACAGUUAUAACACGGGUGUUCUGUUUCAUACACCUCGUGUGACUGGGCAAUAACCACCGCCACUAUAGUUCGGCGUCAUGGUAUACUCUAAUCCAGAAAACAUCGGUUCGAGGCUUGGCACUGCU